ACUCCUACGGGAGGCAGCAGUGGGGAAUAUUGCACAAUGGAGGGAACUCUGAUGCAGCGACGCCGCGUGAACGAAGAAGGCUUUCGAGUCGUAAAGUUCUUUUAUAUGGGAAGAUAAUGACGGUACCAUAAGAAAAGCCCGGCUAACUACGUGCCAGCAGCCGCGGUAAUACGUAGGGGCUAGCGUUGUCCGGAAUCACUGGGCGUAAAGGGUUCGCAGGCGGAAAUGCAAGUCAGGUGUAAAAGGCAGUAGCUUAACUACUGUAAGCAUUUGAAACUGCAUAUCUUGAGAAGAGUAGAGGUAAGUGGAAUUUUUAGUGUAGCGGUGAAAUGCGUAGAUAUUAAAAAGAAUACCGGUGGCGAAGGCGACUUACUGGGCUCAUUCUGACGCUGAGGAACGAAAGCGUGGUAGCAAACAGGAUUAGAUACCCUGGUAGGCUCUGC
Molecule: ribosomal RNA, 443 nt
Filed under: uncultured bacterium
Lineage: Bacteria
Description: bacterial SSU rRNA
Rfam family: Bacterial small subunit ribosomal RNA
Source: RNAcentral